UGGGGAAUCUUCCGCAAUGGACGAAAGUCUGACGGAGCAACGCCGCGUGUAUGAUGAAGGUCUUCGGAUUGUAAAGUACUGUCAUUGGGGAAGAACGGUUUUCUUGAGAAGAUUGAGAAGACAUGACGGUACCCAAGGAGGAAGCCCCGGCUAACUACGUGCCAGCAGCCGCGGUAAUACGUAGGGGGCAAGCGUUGUCCGGAAUUAUUGGGCGUAAAGGGCGCGUAGGCGGGCCUUUAAGUUCGGUGUGAAAGAUCAGGGCUCAACCCUGAGAGUGCAUCGGAAACUGGAGGCCUUGAGGACAGGAGAGGAAAGUGGAAUUCCACGUGUAGCGGUGAAAUGCGUAGAUAUGUGGAGGAACACCGGUGGCGAAGGCGACUUUCUGGACUGUAACUGACGCUGAGGCGCGAAAGCGUGGGGAGCAAACAGGAUUAGAUACCCUGGUAGUCCACGCCGUAAACGAUGAGUGCUAGGUGUAGAGGGUAUCGACCCCUUCUGUGCCGCAGUUAACACAAUAAGUACUCCGCCUGGGAAGUACGAUCGCAAGAUUAAAACUUAAAUGAAUUGACGGGGUCAUAGCUGUUUUCC
RNAcentral lists this ribosomal RNA (588 nucleotides) under uncultured bacterium. RNAcentral describes it as "partial 16S ribosomal RNA". It matches the Rfam family "Bacterial small subunit ribosomal RNA", at positions 355 to 938 of the family's 1533-position model. The record is from RNAcentral.